AGGUGAGCCAUUCUUUGCGAUUGAUUUUGGUGAUAAAGAACACUAAUUUUGAACCCCAGUUAAGCGAAAUGUUAUUCUCAUGAAGAGCUCUAUUCUCAACAGUAGAUCUAUAAUAAUGCUCUCGAUUGAUUGACUGACUGAUUGACAGUACUAGGGAUUUGCACCAAGUUACAUCCUCAGUCCUUUUAUUUUUUGAGACAAGAUCUCACUAACUUGCCCAGACUGAGCUCAAAAUUGCGAUCCUCCUGCCUCAGCCUCCCAGAGUGCUAGGAUUACAAGUCUGUCUUGUUGUUUUAGGUUUAACCCAUAUAAAAUGGGGAAGGGGCCCCGGAGAUCUAUUUCUAAAAGGGGACAGCGAAGUUGGACUACCGCUGUGGGGGCAGAGCCGCGACCCGCGAUCUGCAUGCGCCUCGGGUUCCGCACUCGGGGUGGGGGCUGGGCGAGGGGGGAGCGGGGCCUGCGACCCCCAGCGGCCGAGGCCGGCGCAUGCGCUCUCGGGCCGCAGCGCGGGCGCCAUUGCGGGAGGCGGCGGCCCAGCCCGGCUGGUGGACGCGGAGGCGAUUCCUUAGUUCACUGAGUGAGUGACCAAGACCUUGGAAUUUCUUCCCGCUGAUGUGGUGCAUCUCAUUACAGGUGCUCAACCUGAAAUCGCAUCUCAUGAGAUCCCUGACAGGAGACAAAUUUGAGUCUCAGAGCAGAGUCUCUAAAUAAAUGAUUGGUGCCUUUGUUGGGGUCGCUGAAGGAGCCACUUUCAGAAGCACUGGAACACCAGCUCUCAAGGAUCAACCAGUGACACCGAGGCCACCAGGGCCGCUGCGUCUCGGACUGAGCCAUUGUGCUGGGGAAUAAAGCUUCGGUGACACCGCCACACACAAACUGCCAAGAGGUGCUGCCGUUCUGCUGGGGACUGAAUGCAGGUACACAGAGGUAAGGUGAGCAUUCUGAGAAACAAGAGCACCAUCUCCUUUGUGUUCAUCCAGAGGAUCUCUUGGUGGAGAGGAGGAGCAGAUCUCUGGGCUCUAAAUUUCAACAUAAAUUAAUCCCUUUGGGGAUAAAGCAUAAGGAUAACAGGUUGUCGGCAUGUUUUCUCCAUAACCUCAUUUUAGAAUCACUUGGAGACUUUAGAAUUCAAAUGCCGUGCCCAGCCCUAGUGUGGACCAGUUCAGUGGAAGCCUUUGCGUGUGAGCUGAGGUUGGCCCCCCUUUUUCAUUUCUGCAGGAAGGUAGCCAGGGCUGCAAACCAUUGAGCUUCCCACAUGCGAAGACCCUGGACUUGUACCAUCAGAAACUUCCGAUGCUUUCUAUUCUGCAUGGUCUUCUGCUAUAUGGAUAGAGCCUAGUUUAUUGGAAAACUUUCUAUUGGUGACUAAUUUGUUACUAAUUUGGGACAAUAUUUUUUGAACUUCACAAUGGCGUGUUCGCGUUGUUUGUCUUAUUUCCAUAGGAUACAUUCCAGAUGUGAACCUGUGGCUAUUGCUACAUUUAGGUUGUUAGGCUGCAUCCAAAUAUGGACAUCCAGAAAAUGCGUGCAGGUUACAAUUAGGGUAUGAGAAUUCCAUUUCCUCACGCCUACACCAGCACUUUCAAACUCUACAGGAAUAGUAAGUAAAAAUGAGGCGUUAUUGUUUUGAGUGUUACAUUCCAGCCAACUUUUCAAC
This 1657-nucleotide long non-coding RNA is filed under the name Chinchilla lanigera (long-tailed chinchilla). RNAcentral's name for it is "lncRNA (ENSCLAG00000023963.1)". The record is from RNAcentral. Lineage: Eukaryota; Metazoa; Chordata; Mammalia; Rodentia; Chinchillidae.